GACAGAGGGUGCAAGCGUUGUUCGGAAUUAUUGGGCGUAAAGGGCGCGUAGGUGGCCGUGUAAGUCGGAUGUGAAAGCCCAGGGCUUAACCCUGGAAGUGCAUCCGAUACUGCAUGGCUUGAGUCCCGGAGAGGGUGGCGGAAUUCCCAGUGUAGAGGUGAAAUUCGUAGAUAUUGGGAGGAACACCAGUGGCGAAGGCGGCCACCUGGACGAGGACUGACACUGAGGCGCGAAAGCGUGGGGAGCAAACAGG
Molecule: ribosomal RNA, 253 nt
Filed under: uncultured bacterium
Lineage: Bacteria
Description: partial 16S ribosomal RNA
Rfam family: Bacterial small subunit ribosomal RNA
Source: RNAcentral